RNAcentral lists this ribosomal RNA (253 nucleotides) under uncultured bacterium. RNAcentral describes it as "partial 16S ribosomal RNA". It matches the Rfam family "Bacterial small subunit ribosomal RNA", at positions 524 to 776 of the family's 1533-position model. The record is from RNAcentral.
UACGAAGGGGGCUAGCGUUGCUCGGAAUUACUGGGCGUAAAGCGCACGUAGGCGGCUUUCUAAGUCGGGGGUGAAAUCCUGGAGCUCAACUCCAGAACUGCCUUCGAUACUGGGGAUCUUGAGUCCGGGAGAGGUGAGUGGAACUGCGAGUGUAGAGGUGAAAUUCGUAGAUAUUCGCAAGAACACCAGUGGCGAAGGCGGCUCACUGGCCCGGUACUGACGCUGAGGUGCGAAAGCGUGGGGAGCAAACAGG